RNAcentral lists this ribosomal RNA (474 nucleotides) under bacterium BCM36. Its description in RNAcentral is "bacterial SSU rRNA". It matches the Rfam family "Bacterial small subunit ribosomal RNA", at positions 58 to 514 of the family's 1533-position model. The record is from RNAcentral.
CAAGUCGAGCGAACAGAUAAGGAGCUUGCUCCUUUGACGUUAGCGGCGGACGGGUGAGUAACACGUGGGUAACCUACCUAUAAGACUGGGACAACUUCGGGAAACCGGAGCUAAUACCGGAUAAUAUGUUGAACCGCAUGGUUCAAUAGUGAAAGAUGGUUUUGCUAUCACUUAUAGAUGGACCCGCGCCGUAUUAGCUAGUUGGUGAGGUAACGGCUCACCAAGGCAACGAUACGUAGCCGACCUGAGAGGGUGAUCGGCCACACUGGAACUGAGACACGGUCCAGACUCCUACGGGAGGCAGCAGUAGGGAAUCUUCCGCAAUGGGCGAAAGCCUGACGGAGCAACGCCGCGUGAGUGAUGAAGGUCUUAGGAUCGUAAAACUCUGUUAUUAGGGAAGAACAAACGUGUAAGUAACUGUGCACGUCUUGACGGUACCUAAUCAGAAAGCCACGGCUAACUACGUGCCAGCAG